This is a non-coding RNA of Phrynosoma platyrhinos (Desert horned lizard), 72 nucleotides long. NCBI's taxonomy places the organism in Eukaryota, Metazoa, Chordata, Lepidosauria, Squamata, Phrynosomatidae. The record is from the annotation of a GenBank genome assembly.
GCCAGUGUGGUACAGUGGUUUGAGAACUGGAUCACCACUCUGGAGAUCAGGGUUCGAUUCCCUGUUCGGCCA